Molecule: unclassified non-coding RNA, 294 nt
Organism: Callithrix jacchus (white-tufted-ear marmoset)
Lineage: Eukaryota; Metazoa; Chordata; Mammalia; Primates; Cebidae
Rfam family: Metazoan signal recognition particle RNA
About the family: The signal recognition particle (SRP) is a universally conserved ribonucleoprotein. It is involved in the co-translational targeting of proteins to membranes.
Source: Ensembl
GCUGGGAGCAGUGGCGUGUGCCUAUAGCUACGCAGGAGGCUGAGGUGGGAGGAUUACUUGAGCCCAGGAGUUCUGGGCUGUGGUGUGCUAUGCCAAUUGGGUGUCCACACUAAGUUUGGCAUCAAUAUGGUAACGUCCCGGGAGCAGGGGACCACCAGGUUGCCUAAGGAGGGGUGAACUGGUACAGGUCAGAAAUGGAGCAGGUCAAAACUCCCGUGCUGAUCAGUAGUGGAAUCGCACCAGUGAAUAGCCACUGCACUCUAGCCUGGACAACAUAUUGAGACCCCAUCUCUA